GUGCCAGCCGCCGCGGUAAUACGAAGGGUGCAAGCGUUACUCGGAAUUACUGGGCGUAAAGCGUGCGUAGGUGGUGAUUUAAGUCCGUUGUGAAAGCCCUGGGCUCAACCUGGGAAUUGCAGUGGAUACUGGGUCACUAGAGUGUGGUAGAGGAUAGUGGAAUUUCCGGUGUAGCAGUGAAAUGCGUAGAGAUCGGAAGGAACAUCUGUGGCGAAGGCGACUAUCUGGGCCAACACUGACACUGAGGCACGAAAGCGUGGGGAGCAAACAGGAUUAGAUACCCCGGUAGUCC
RNAcentral lists this ribosomal RNA (292 nucleotides) under uncultured bacterium. RNAcentral describes it as "partial 16S ribosomal RNA". It matches the Rfam family "Bacterial small subunit ribosomal RNA", at positions 505 to 796 of the family's 1533-position model. The record is from RNAcentral.